RNAcentral lists this ribosomal RNA (473 nucleotides) under uncultured bacterium. RNAcentral describes it as "partial 16S ribosomal RNA". It matches the Rfam family "Bacterial small subunit ribosomal RNA", at positions 28 to 507 of the family's 1533-position model. The record is from RNAcentral.
GAUCAACGCUGGCGGCGCACAUAAGACAUGCAAGUUGAACGGACUUAAUCGAAAUAUUUCUAUUUUGAAGCGGUUAGUGGCGGACUGGUGAGUAACGCGUAAGGAACCUGCCUAUUAGAGGGGAAUAACAGUGAGAAAUCAUUGCUAAUACCGCAUAUGCCAUAGAUAUCACAUGAUAACAGUGGGAAUGGAGCAAUCCGCUAAUAGAUGGCCUUGCGUCUGAUUAGAUAGUUGGUGGGGUAACGGCCUACCAAGUCGACGAUCAGUAGCAGGACUGAGAGGUUGAGCGGCAGCAUUGGGAGUGAGAUACGGCCCAGAAUCCUACGGGAGGGAGCAGUAGGGAAUAGUGCGCAAUGGAGGAGACUCUAGCGGAGUGACGCAGCGUAUAGGAAGAAGGUUUGCGGAUUAUAAACUAUUGUCGUUAGGGAAGAGAAAGGACAGUACCUAAGGAGGAAGCACCGGCUAACUACGUG